AAAACAAACAGUCUUCUCCAAAAAAAAGCUAGAAAAAAGCACAUGCUUCUUCUUCAUUUUAAAAAGAGAAUAAAAGCUAGGAUCAGAAGCUCACUUGCAACGGAAGUUUGAUCAGAAGCUAGCACGUUCAUCACUCCUCCAUCGCCGGCGGGAUUCGCUUGAAGCCGGCAGAAAUUAACCCCUAUAAUCGGUCAGUUGCCAUCGGAUUUUCGGAGCUUCAGAACUGCUUAUUUAUCGAAGCUUCCGUUCAUUCUCAUAUCAGAAUUACAAGCUUCUCGAUUUUGUUUCAAAGUCGAGCAUUCCGGCCCAAAGUCCGGACAGUCGAGUUGAGGCGUCCGUUAUAGCCGAGUUCAAAGAAGUUUGGUCGAGUUUCGUUGCGACUCCGACGAAGCACUUCAUUUUUCCGUUCG
Molecule: long non-coding RNA, 410 nt
Filed under: Nicotiana benthamiana
Lineage: Eukaryota; Viridiplantae; Streptophyta; Magnoliopsida; Solanales; Solanaceae
Description: long non-coding RNA (NBEN_LNC014869)
Source: RNAcentral